Long non-coding RNA from Harmonia axyridis, 370 nucleotides. RefSeq lists it as uncharacterized. The record is from RefSeq and is a predicted model, not a curated record. The transcript is spliced from 2 exons. NCBI's taxonomy places the organism in Eukaryota, Metazoa, Arthropoda, Insecta, Coleoptera, Coccinellidae.
GAGAACCGGCAACGUGGUUGAAAUAGAAAUGGUAACAAUAUUUUCAUUCCACCUUGGUAGUCAUCGACUUGAUGUAAAUAAACUACAUAUAUUAUUGCAAUUAUGUCUCAAGGACGUGGGUACCUUAUGGUUAUAUAUUAUGGUCUUGUAGGAAUGUUCCUGGUCGGCUUAUAAGGUUCCUUCAACUACAUUUAUAUGGUUAAUCAUCUUGCAAUCAUAAUAAAUGCCUUACAUUCACGAAGUGUAUCGCAAUAAAUGAGACAUGCAUAUGAAAAGUGUAGCAAACUUCAUAUUUAUAAUUAUCUACUAAAACAAGAAUUACAAAAUGUAGAUUUUUAUUCAGCAAAAUAAAGCAUUACCUAAGGACAAA